This 164-nucleotide ribosomal RNA is filed under the name Saussurea velutina. RNAcentral describes it as "5.8S ribosomal RNA". It matches the Rfam family "5.8S ribosomal RNA". From Rfam's summary of the family: 5.8S ribosomal RNA (5.8S rRNA) is a component of the large subunit of the eukaryotic ribosome. Lineage: Eukaryota; Viridiplantae; Streptophyta; Magnoliopsida; Asterales; Asteraceae. The record is from RNAcentral.
AUAAACGACUCUCGGCAACGGAUAUCUCGGCUCACGCAUCGAUGAAGAACGUAGCAAAAUGCGAUACUUGGUGUGAAUUGCAGAAUCCCGUGAACCAUCGAGUUUUUGAACGCAAGUUGCGCCCAAAGCCAUUCGGCCAAGGGCACGUCUGCCUGGGCGUCACG